GCAUUAAUGGGGUAGUGGUAACCUGGGUCGUUGCCAUUCGAGUUUAAGCUCGACCCGCCGGGGGUUCGAUUCCCUCUUAAUGCA
Molecule: transfer RNA, 84 nt
Filed under: Pholiota conissans
Lineage: Eukaryota; Fungi; Basidiomycota; Agaricomycetes; Agaricales; Strophariaceae
Rfam family: tRNA
About the family: Transfer RNA (tRNA) molecules are approximately 80 nucleotides in length. Their secondary structure includes four short double-helical elements and three loops (D, anti-codon, and T loops).
Source: Rfam by way of RNAcentral